GUUGGCCGAGGGCUAGGGAGCCGGGCUGUUCCACGCUCACUGCGCGCCUCGGGCGGCGGGGCGCGGGCUCUGUCCGAGGUGCUGAACUCCGGAGCUCCGGCCGCGCCGGCAGAGUGUGCCAGCGUCCAUUAUUGCCAGUGUCUGUGGGCAUCUUCCAGAAGGCCGAGCAUGGGGGUCAGGUGAAACCAGGGCGCUCCCAAGCACCUUGCCCAGUAGAACCCCCUUGCACCCUGCUUGGUUGGUCAGCACCCCAUGGACAUGCAGCCUUGACCUUGGCAUGGGGAGCCUCCACUGUGUCAAGCCCAACAUCCAGGCCUCUGAAGACAGUCAUUCAGGUUUUCCAGGAGAGAAUCCACUUUUUGUUUUAUCUGGGACAACUCCUUCAUAAUGGCCUGAAGGUCAUCUCCUUUCAACUUUCCAGACUUGGAAGAUCCCUGCUGUCCACUCUUAGAAUUGAGGCCACUUUUGCCCCUUCGUGAGUUGUUUCCUGAUACACGCUGACAUUUUGAGAGCACUACAGCCCAAGCAAUAGGAAGAGGAGGAGGCACGCGUGCUGAG
RNAcentral lists this long non-coding RNA (558 nucleotides) under Pongo abelii (Sumatran orangutan). RNAcentral describes it as "lincRNA". The record is from RNAcentral. Lineage: Eukaryota; Metazoa; Chordata; Mammalia; Primates; Hominidae.